Molecule: long non-coding RNA, 2247 nt
Filed under: Brassica napus (rape)
Lineage: Eukaryota; Viridiplantae; Streptophyta; Magnoliopsida; Brassicales; Brassicaceae
Description: long non-coding RNA (BNAP_LNC025188)
Source: RNAcentral
UUCUCAAUGGGACCAAGAGCUUGCAUUGGCCAAAACUUUACAAUGAUUGAAGCCAAGGUCGUGCUCACCAUGAUCCUUCAACGGUUCAGGCUUAGCCUCUCAGGCGAGUAUAAACACGCGCCGGUGGAUCACCUCACUCUAACUCCUCAGUACGGCUUACCCGUAAUGCUUCAGCCUCUGUGAGCCUUUAUGAGCCAAAGAGUUAUCAAAUCCUAUAUCGUGCUUUAAGCCGGUUUAAAUAAAUAGUGAUGUGUGCUACUACUUAACUAAACUGCUAUGUGCUAAUUGAUACUUUUUCAGUUGCAUAAUAUAAGAUGGAUGUCUUAUAGAAGAUCUUUUGUUACUUUCAAAACAAUUUUAAUUUUAUUAAAAACUGGUCAACCAAUAUUUAUGAUUGAUUAAUUCAUCUUAAACUUAUACUAUUAAUAGUGAUUUUAACAAAUUUUUCCCAAGAUGUACAACGCUCUUAUCAUCCUUGUGUGGCAGCCAUUUGUCUUGACAAGAAGAUUCAAGAAACAAGGAAUCUCAGGACCAAGGUACAGAUUCUUGUACGGAAACAUCGACGAGAUAAACAAGAUGAAGAUAGAAUCUCACCUUUCGAUUCUUGAUCCAAACUCCAAUGACAUCUUUCCUCGUAUUUUCCCUCAUUACCAACAAUGGAUGACUCUAUACGGUGCCGUUUUCACCAUCUCAAUCUUUCUACUCAUGUGUUUUUUUUUAACUAUGCGUGACACACACGUUUGUUUAUAUGGUAUAUAUGUCACUAGGAGAUACGUUUCUUUACUGGAACGGAACAGAGCCAAUGCUAUGCAUCUCAGAUCUUGAACUCGUCAAGCAAAUCUUGUCAAACAAGUCAGGUUUCUUUGUUAAAUCAAAGAUAAGGCCAGAGUUCUUUAAACUUGUCGGCAUGAAGGGAUUUGCCUUUGUCGAAGAUGUUGACUGGGUUCGCCAUAGGAGAAUCUUGAACCCUGCUUUCUCCAUCGAUAGGCUCAAGGUCAUGACGAAAGUGAUGGUGGAGUGCACACUGAGGGUGCUGGACAAGUGGAGUAAUGUUAAAAGAGAGCAGAAAAUGGAGAUGAACAGAGAGUUUAGGAGAUUAACGGCUGAUAUUAUAGCAACCGCUGCGUUUGGAAGCAGUUACAACGAAGGAAUCGAAGUGUUUAGGACACAAGAAGAGCUUAAGAAGUGUUUUGUUACAUGUCUCACUAACUUCUACAUCCCUGGAACUCGGUAAGCACAACUCUCAGUUCAUGUUUUUUUUUGUUCUGUUCAGACAAGAUUCUCAAGUUCUUGUUUCUUGUUGUCCAAGGUACCUUCCUACGCCUUCGAAUAUUCAUAUCUGGAAGCUUAAAUAGGAAGAUGAAGAACUCAGUCAAGAAGGUUGUAGAUUCUAGACUAGCAUCAAAACAAGAUUAUGGAGACGAUCUUCUUGGAAUCAUGUUGAAAUCUUGCGAGUCAGAAAGGAACGAAAGAAAGCUGAGCAUUGAAGAGAUCAUAGAUGAAUGGAAGACAUUUUUCUUCGGGGGAUACGAAACUAACUCGAAUCUAUUGACAUGGACCACCAUGUUGCUGAGCUUGCACCAAGACUGGCAGGAGAAGCUAAGACACGAAAUCUUCGAAGAGUGCGGUAAAGACAAGACGCCAGAUUCAGACACUUUCUCCAAACUCAAACUGUUAAUAAAAUGUUUACUUGUGGUUCAAGUAAAGGUUUUCCUUGUGGUUGAAGAAACUUAUUUAUCUCUUGUAGAUGAACAUGGUGUUCUUGGAGUCGCUUCGCCUGUACGGACCAGUAUCAUAUUUCUCCAGAGAUGCAACAAAGGAUCUGACGCUAGGGCACCUAAAGAUCCCCAAGGGCACAACGAUAGUUUUCCCUCUUAUGAAGAUGCACAGCGACAAGGCCGUUUGGGGAUCAGACGCUGAUAAGUUCAACCCGCUGCGAUUUGAAAACGGCGUUUCCAGAGCCGCUAGUCACCCAAACGCUCUCCUCGCGUUCUCAAUGGGACCAAGAGCUUGCAUUGGCCAAAACUUUACAAUGAUUGAAGCCAAGGUCGUGCUCACCAUGAUCCUUCAACGGUUCAGGCUUAGCCUCUCAGGCGAGUAUAAACACGCGCCGGUGGAUCACCUCACUCUAACUCCUCAGUACGGCUUACCCGUAAUGCUUCAGCCUCUGUGAGCCUUUAUGAGCCAAAGAGUUAUCAAAUCCUAUAUCGUGCUUUAAGCCGGUUUAAAUAAAUAGUGAUGUGUGCU